UCCCAGACUCCUACGGGAGGCAGCAGUGAGGAAUAUUGGUCAAUGGGCGGGAGCCUGAACCAGCCAAGUCGCGUGAGGGAAGACGGUCCUACGGAUUGUAAACCUCUUUUGCCGGGGAGCAACGGGGUCCUUGCGAGGGCCCGAUGAGAGUACCCGGAGAAAAAGCAUCGGCUAACUCCGUGCCAGCAGCCGCGGUAAUACGUAGGGGGCAAGCGUUAUCCGGAUUUACUGGGUGUAAAGGGAGCGUAGACGGCCAGACAAGUCUGAAGUGAAAAUCCAGCGCUUAACGUUGGAAGUGCUUUGGAAACUGCCGGGCUGGAGUGCAGGAGGGGCAGGCGGAAUUCCUAGUGUAGCGGUGAAAUGCGUAGAUAUUAGGAGGAACACCAGUGGCGAAGGCGGCCUGCUGGACUGCAACUGACGUUGAGGCUCGAAGGCGUGGGGAGCAAACAGGAUUAGAUACCCCAGUA
RNAcentral lists this ribosomal RNA (467 nucleotides) under uncultured bacterium. RNAcentral's name for it is "bacterial SSU rRNA". It matches the Rfam family "Bacterial small subunit ribosomal RNA", at positions 329 to 792 of the family's 1533-position model. The record is from RNAcentral.